This 23-nucleotide small nuclear RNA is filed under the name Arabidopsis thaliana (thale cress). RNAcentral's name for it is "snRNA_01233". The record is from RNAcentral. Lineage: Eukaryota; Viridiplantae; Streptophyta; Magnoliopsida; Brassicales; Brassicaceae.
AACAGAGAAGAGCCUACUCAAGA